Molecule: ribosomal RNA, 453 nt
Filed under: uncultured bacterium
Lineage: Bacteria
Description: bacterial SSU rRNA
Rfam family: Bacterial small subunit ribosomal RNA
Source: RNAcentral
GAUGAACGCUAGCGGCAAGGCCUAACACAUGCAAGUCGAGCGAUCUUCUUCGGAAGAGAGCGGCGGACGGGUGAGUAACGCGUGGGUAACCUGCCUCAUACACAUGGAUAACAUACCGAAAGGUAUGCUAAUACAAGAUGACAUAAGAGAUUCGCAUGGAUUUCUUAUCAAAGCUCCGGCGGUAUGAGAUGGACCCGCGUCUGAUUAGCUAGUUGGUAAGGUAAUGGCUUACCAAGGCUUCGAUCAGUAGCCGACCUGAGAGGGUGAUCGGCCACAUUGGAACUGAGACACGGUCCAAACUCCUACGGGAGGCAGCAGUGGGGAAUAUUGCACAAUGGGCGAAAGCCUGAUGCAGCAACGCCGCGUGAGCGAUGAAGGCCUUCGGGUCGUAAAGCUCUGUCCUCAAGGAAGAUAAUGACGGUACUUGAGGAGGAAGCCCCGGCUAACUACGUG